This 1159-nucleotide ribosomal RNA is filed under the name Burkholderia lata. RNAcentral's name for it is "23S ribosomal RNA (partial)". It matches the Rfam family "Bacterial large subunit ribosomal RNA", at positions 3 to 1207 of the family's 2925-position model. The record is from RNAcentral. Lineage: Bacteria; Pseudomonadati; Pseudomonadota; Betaproteobacteria; Burkholderiales; Burkholderiaceae.
UCAAGCGAACAAGUGCAUGUGGUGGAUGCCUUGGCGAUCACAGGCGAUGAAGGACGCGGUAGCCUGCGAAAAGCUACGGGGAGCUGGCAAACAAGCUUUGAUCCGUAGAUGUCCGAAUGGGGAAACCCACUCCUUUUGGAGUAUCCAUGGCUGAAUACAUAGGCCAUGUGAAGCGAACGCGGUGAACUGAAACAUCUAAGUAACCGCAGGAAAAGAAAUCAACCGAGAUUCCCAAAGUAGUGGCGAGCGAAAUGGGAUGAGCCUUGCACUCUUUAUUUGUAUUGUUAGCCGAACGCUCUGGAAAGUGCGGCCAUAGCGGGUGAUAGCCCCGUAGGCGAAAACAGUAUGAAAGAACUAGGUGUGCGACAAGUAGGGCGGGACACGUGAAAUCCUGUCUGAAGAUGGGGGGACCAUCCUCCAAGGCUAAAUACUCGUGAUCGACCGAUAGUGAACCAGUACCGUGAGGGAAAGGUGAAAAGAACCCCGGGAGGGGAGUGAAAUAGAUCCUGAAACCGCAUGCAUACAAACAGUCGGAGCCUCGAAAGGGGUGACGGCGUACCUUUUGUAUAAUGGGUCAGCGACUUACGUUCAGUAGCAAGCUUAACCGUAUAGGGCAGGCGUAGCGAAAGCGAGUCCGAAUAGGGCGUUCAGUUGCUGGGCGUAGACCCGAAACCAAGUGAUCUAUCCAUGGCCAGGAUGAAGGUGCGGUAACACGUACUGGAGGUCCGAACCCACUAACGUUGAAAAGUUAGGGGAUGAGCUGUGGAUAGGGGUGAAAGGCUAAACAAACUUGGAAAUAGCUGGUUCUCUCCGAAAACUAUUUAGGUAGUGCCUCGUGUCUCACCUUCGGGGGUAGAGCACUGUCAUGGUUGGGGGGUCCAUUGCGGAUUACCCCGCCAUAGCAAACUCCGAAUACCGAAGAGUGCAAUCACGGGAGACAGACAUCGGGUGCUAACGUCCGGUGUCAAGAGGGAAACAACCCAGACCGCCAGCUAAGGUCCCCAAAUAUAGCUAAGUGGGAAACGAAGUGGGAAGGCUAAAACAGUCAGGAGGUUGGCUUAGAAGCAGCCACCCUUUAAAGAAAGCGUAAUAGCUCACUGAUCGAGUCGUCCUGCGCGGAAGAUGUAACGGGGCUAAGCUAUAUACCGAAGCUGCGGAU